GACGAACGCUGGCGGCGUGCUUAACACAUGCCAGUCGAACGGAAAGGCCCCUUUGGGGGUACUCGAGUGGCGAACGGGUGAGUAACACGUGAGUAACCUGCCCUUGACUUCGGGAUAACUUCAGGAAACUGGGGCUAAUACCGGAUAGGAAUCCUUGCUGCAUGGUGGGGGUUGGAAAGCUUCGGCGGUUUUGGAUGGACUCGCGGCUUAUCCGCUUGUUGGUGGGGUAGUGGCUUACCAAGGCUUUGACGGGUAGCCGGCCUGCGAGGGCGACCGGCCACAUAGGGACUGAGAUACGGCCCAGACUCCUACGGGAGGCAGCAGUGGGGAAUAUUGCACAAUGGGCGGAAGCCUGAUGCAGCAACGCCGCGUGCGGGAUGACGGCCUUCGGGUUGUAAACCGCUUUCAGCAGGGGCGAAGCUUGUGGUGACGGUACCUGCAGAAGAAGCACCGGCUAACUACGUG
RNAcentral lists this ribosomal RNA (465 nucleotides) under uncultured bacterium. RNAcentral describes it as "partial 16S ribosomal RNA". It matches the Rfam family "Bacterial small subunit ribosomal RNA", at positions 28 to 507 of the family's 1533-position model. The record is from RNAcentral.